Molecule: long non-coding RNA, 1094 nt
Filed under: Sus scrofa (pig)
Lineage: Eukaryota; Metazoa; Chordata; Mammalia; Artiodactyla; Suidae
Description: lncRNA (ENSSSCG00070004954.1)
Source: RNAcentral
GUGAGAGUUGACAUCUUCCUCUCAAACUCAAGCCUAAAAGUUGCAUCACCAGACAGACUGUGGGCCCCCUCUGGCCAACCUGGCUACCAGAGGUUUGAUCCCACUGCAACUCUCUCUCCCCAGUCCUGAGAACUGAGGGUGCUAAAGGAGAAACAAGAGAGCCCCUCCGCGUGCUCACACAGAGACACAACUCUCGUCCCCACAGUCACAGGCGUGGUCACCUUCCUGCCCUUCCACAUACCCUGCACUCUGUCCCACCGUGCACGGUGCCCACCUUUUUCUCUUCUGUCCCAGGUAUGUACUGUGCCCCUCUGUGCUUCUGGGUCCCUCCCCCCUCCCCGGGGCCAAGUGGGUUUGUCUCCAGAAGCUUUUUCCCACCCUUGCCCUGACCUCACCCUCUGGCUGCUUCCUAACUCAUUCAAAAUCUCAUUUAGGGGCUGCAGGACCACAUCCCAGGUCCAGGACUAAAAGAAGGGGGUGCAAGGUCUGGGCUCCUGGGGGAUCAACAUGGGAGCGGAGGCUUUGGUGCUGCCUGGAGGGUUGCUGGCUUGCAUCUGAGAUCACCACGCUCGACCUUGCUCCCCUCUUCGGUGCCCAGGGUGUCUCCAGCCCUCGUGGGAAGCCCAGCGUUGUUUACCCAGCCCGAGCGCACACCGUGAAGGCCCUGCCGGAUGCUGCCCUUUCUGGGCCUCAAGGUCCCCUGCCUCCCCACCUCCGCGCCCUCCCCCCAGGCCUUGGAAACAUGGCUGGACAAAGUACACAAAGGAGCCGGGUGACAACCCCCCCCCCCUCAACUUCUCACCUUCGGUAGCGCUCUGCCCUGAGGAAUCUCAAACCUCCUAACUUGGGUUUCUUCCCGGGAAGAAAAGACAUAAUACCGAUCCCCUCUGUUCCUCUGUGGUUCUGGACAGAUAGAGGUAAAAACUGUAAAGUGCUGAACGCAACUGGGUCAUUUCCAGGAGAAAGUACUGGGGUAAGAUUAAGACGACACGAGGCAGGAGCCAACGAGAGAGGGCAAGGAGAGAGCGAGAGAGGUCAGAUCAGUUCCCAGGGACUGAGGCCAGUUUCCAGCGUUGCACAUGCGGUGUCCUCAC